UGCGUGUGUUUCUGCGUGUGAGUGUACUUAUUAUAUAUAUGUAUAUACAGAAUGCGUUGUUAUAUAUAAUAAAUUUAAUAAUUAAUUACUCGAUCAUUAUAAAUUAUUUAUUAACUUUUAUGAGCUCGUAUAAAUCUUGAGAGUCCAUAGAACAUUUGUAGCAUCUAAAUAUUUAUAAUUUAUUCGUGGAAAUUAAAUAAAAUAUACUUUGAUCAAUGACAUGUAUCCAGGUUAAUAAGACGAAGCGACUAUUUAUAAAAUAGUUAAUUAUUAGGCACGUUUUAUAUACUUUUAUGAUAUCUUAUUACUCCAACGAGUCCGUGGAACAUCAUGAAUACUUAAAUGUGACAAAUUUUUUCUUAUUAUUUAAUUAUCAAUAAAGAUAUUGUCUCUAUACACCAAUUCAAAUUUGGCGCUGGCACUUGUGCCAUCUAGCGUGACGACUAGAAAUUAAUGGAUUAGCGCUCGACCUCCUCAUUCUUUCUGUGUUCCUAUUAAAAAUUGAAGAUUUUUGGCGAGAAGUUGCCGACCAAUUUGUAAGGAUUCAUAUGUAUUUGUGUGAGCGCGUGUGUGUGUGUGCGAGCGCGCGGGCGUGUGUGUAUUAAGUAUUUGUUUUUCAAAAAUUAAAUAAAUGAUACUCUUCUAACAAGUGCUUUCAAUACACAAGAAACUUUACAGUUAUAAAUUAUAAAAUCAUAGAAUUUUGUGAAACAUAAUAGAAAAAAAUUAAAUCUACUCUUUAGAUCAUUAACAACAGGUUCUUAUACUUGAUACAGUGAUAAAAAUUGUAAUAAACAGGUUGUCAAAUUCUUUCUACGUCAAACAAUUACUCUAAUUUUGCGAUAGAAUACUUACACGACAUUUCAAAAAGAAACUGCAAUGAGUAUAGAACAUUAAGUACCCGAAACAUUGAAUACUCUUAUUAUUUGAAAUAAUAGUUUACCAAAAUCGAUAUACUCAUAAAAAACUUGCUAAAAUCACAGCAAUAUGAACAAAAAAAUAGAAUGAUGUAUUAUGUAUCGUUAGUAGAAUGUUCACAGUUCAUUCUUAUUGUCCAGUCAUUACUAAUUACAGAUAUUUGCAAUUAAAAAUUUCAAUUACCAUUACCAUUUCAGAUAAAAUUUCAAUUUAGUCUAAUGCUGAUUCUCUCAAAUAUGAUAAAUAACUGGAACUGGUUCGCCAUUCUUGAACUGGAUGAUAAUAAAAUCUUUGUAUCGUUUGAGCUAUAAACCUGUCAUAAAACAUGCAACAAGAUAAGAAUAUUAUUUAGGAAGGUAAAACUUAUAGUUUCUAAAAUUUUGAAGUAUUGAUGCUGAAGUGUAAUACCUUGUCACAUGUAUUUAAAUUUCUACAUCUUGAAAGAUUGCCUUUCUACAGAUGCUUGGACUAUGUAUUAUUGCAAAAAAAAGCUUUCUGUUACAAUCUGGUACAUGAAAUAAUAAGUAAGUUGUAUGUCCUUCAAGGGAAAACAAUGUAUAAUAACGUUAAUAAGCAUACAAUACCUGCUAUGAAAUAUAUGUAAGUAAAAUGUAAAACGAAGCAGAUUUCUGAUUAAGUAUGUCGGGUACUUGAUAAACAAUAUCAAUGAAUAUGACAAUGAAGUCAUUUUUUAAACAUUAUAUAAAUCAAAUCGUUCAGAAGACCUGCGAACGUAAAAAUAUUAUUUAGAAGGGAAAGAUUCAAAGAUUUUAAAACUUUGAAGUAUCGAUAGUAAAGUGUAAUACCAUUUUAUACUUAUUUAAAUUCCUUCGACUUGCAGACUGUCUUUAUCUACAGAUGUAUAAACAAUAUGAUUAAAAAACUAUCACAGAGGGAAACUAAAAAAUAAUAACAGUAGAUGAAAUGCAACGGAAAAUAAUUAAAAGAUAUUUAAAUGAUUGUGAGACUAAGAUGAUUUUUUUUAUUAUGACACGGUGAUUUUCAAUUUCUGAUAAAUAGAUCAGAAUAGAAAAUAGAACAGGAAUAUAUUAAAAAAUUUAUUGCUAAAUAUAUUUAAAAUGAUAUGAAAUAAUCGAAAAGAGUAUAAUAAUUAAUUAAUAUAACAUUGCUAACCCCAUGUUUAUUCAUCAAUGUAGUUUACAAUACAAGUUCAAAUUCGGCGCUGGGAUUUGUGCCAUCUAGCGUAAUAUCUAGUAAUUAAUGAAUAAGUGAUCGACCUCCUCUAUGGUUCUGUGUUCCUAUUAAAAAUUCAAGAUUUUUGCGACAAUAAGCAUCCAAUUGUAGACGUUGUAUCUCUCUCUCUCUCACUCCUCUCUCACUCUCUCUCUCUCUCUCUCUCUCUCUCUCUCUCUCUCACUCUCUCAGUGUGUGCGUGUGUUUCUGCGUGUGAGUGUUCUUAUUAUAUAUAUGUAUAUACAGAAUGCGUUGUUAUAUAUAAUAAAUUUAAUAAUUAAUUA
Molecule: long non-coding RNA, 2396 nt
Organism: Vespula vulgaris
Lineage: Eukaryota; Metazoa; Arthropoda; Insecta; Hymenoptera; Vespidae
Exons: 2
Source: RefSeq, a predicted model, not a curated record